UACGUAGGCAGCGAGCGUUGUUCGGAGUUACUGGGCGUAAAGCGUGCGUAGGCGGUUUUGUAAGUUUGGUGUGAAAUCCCCCGGCUCAACUGGGGAGGGUCACGCGAUACUGAUCGACUCGAAGGCAGGAGAGGGAAGUGGAAUUCCCGGUGUAGUGGUGAAAUGCGUAGAUAUCGGGAGGAACACCAGUGGCGAAGGCGACUUCCUGGCCUGUUCUUGACGCUGAGGCGCGAAAGCUAGGGGAGCAAACGGG
This 253-nucleotide ribosomal RNA is filed under the name uncultured bacterium. RNAcentral's name for it is "partial 16S ribosomal RNA". It matches the Rfam family "Bacterial small subunit ribosomal RNA", at positions 524 to 776 of the family's 1533-position model. The record is from RNAcentral.